AUUGGCAGUGCCCCUGCAUGAGGGUUAAAAACACCAGAAAGUCUGCCUGCUUGGAGGGUACCUUCUCAAAAUAUCCUUCAAGAACUCCACCAGUGGGGGGGUAGUCUGUCCAAACCUCCCUGUAACAGACAURCUGGCCUCUUCCCUCAAGCCUGACAGAUACUUCUGGACUCCCUG
This is a long non-coding RNA of Austrofundulus limnaeus, 177 nucleotides long. RefSeq lists it as uncharacterized. The record is from RefSeq and is a predicted model, not a curated record. The transcript has 3 exons. NCBI's taxonomy places the organism in Eukaryota, Metazoa, Chordata, Actinopteri, Cyprinodontiformes, Rivulidae.